Molecule: ribosomal RNA, 763 nt
Filed under: uncultured bacterium
Lineage: Bacteria
Description: bacterial SSU rRNA
Rfam family: Bacterial small subunit ribosomal RNA
Source: RNAcentral
AUCCAACCUGCCGUCUACUCUUGGACAGCCUUCUGAAAGGAAGAUUAAUACAAGAUGGCAUCAUGAGUCCGCAUGUUCACAUGAUUAAAGGUAUUCCGGUAGACGAUGGGGAUGCGUUCCAUUAGAUAGUAGGCGGGGUAACGGCCCACCUAGUCUUCGAUGGAUAGGGGUUCUGAGAGGAAGGUCCCCCACAUUGGAACUGAGACACGGUCCAAACUCCUACGGGAGGCAGCAGUGAGGAAUAUUGGUCAAUGGGCGAGAGCCUGAACCAGCCAAGUAGCGUGAAGGAUGACUGCCCUAUGGGUUGUAAACUUCUUUUAUGAAGGAAUAAAGUCGGGUAUGGAUACCCGUUUGCAUGUACUUUAUGAAUAAGGAUCGGCUAACUCCGUGCCAGCAGCCGCGGUAAUACGGAGGAUCCGAGCGUUAUCCGGAUUUAUUGGGUUUAAAGGGAGCGUAGAUGGAUGUUUAAGUCAGUUGUGAAAGUUCGCGGCUCAACCGUAAAAUUGCAGUUGAUACUGGAUAUCUUGAGUGCAGUUGAGGCAGGCGGAAUUCGUGGUGUAGCGGUGAAAUGCUUAGAUAUCACGAAGAACUCCGAUUGCGAAGGCAGCCUGCUAAGCUGCAACUGACAUUGAGGCUCGAAAGUGUGGGUAUCAAACAGGAUUAGAUACCCUGGUAGUCCACACGGUAAACGAUGAAUACUCGCUGUUUGCGAUAUACUGCAAGCGGCCAAGCGAAAGCGUUAAGUAUUCCACCUGGGGAGUAC